CAAAUUAGAGCUUGAAAAAAGUUUUUCAUUUACAUUGAAAGGAUAUUAUUAAAAUAAUUAAUUUGA
This 66-nucleotide transfer RNA is filed under the name Emmelina monodactyla (morning-glory plume moth). RNAcentral describes it as "tRNA-Val". Lineage: Eukaryota; Metazoa; Arthropoda; Insecta; Lepidoptera; Pterophoridae. The record is from RNAcentral.